GCAAGUUGAGCGAGAAAUCACUUAAAGAAGCUUCGGUAGACUUAAGAGAUGGAGAGCAGCGGACGGGUGAGUAACGCGUGGGAAACCUGCCCUUGACAGGAGGAUAGCCGAGAGAAAUUUCGAUUAAUACUUCAUAAAGCAGAGCAUUCGCAUGGAUGAACUGCCAAAGAAUUAUCGGUCAAGGAUGGUCCCGCGUCUGAUUAGCUGGUUGGUAAGGUAGCGGCUUACCAAGGCGACGAUCAGUAGCCGGCCUGAGAGGGUGAACGGCCACAUUGGAACUGAGACACGGUCCAGACUCCUACGGGAGGCAGCAGUGGGGAAUAUUGCACAAUGGGCGAAAGCCUGAUGCAGCAACGCCGCGUGAAGGAAGAAGGCUUUCGAGUCGUAAACUUCUGUCCAAAGGGAAGAAUAAUGACGGUACCUUUGAAGAAAGCCCCGGCUAACUACGUGCCAGCAGCCGCGGUAAUACGUAGGGGGCGAGCGUUAUCCGGAAUUACUGGGCGUAAAGAGUAUGUAGGUGGUUAAGUAAGCGUAGGGUUUAAGGCGACAGCCCAACUGUCGUAUGCCCCGCGAACUGUUUAACUUGAGUACAGGAGGGGAAGGCGGAAUUCCUAGUGUAGCGGUGAAAUGCGUAGAUAUUAGGAGGAACACCAGUGGCGAAG
RNAcentral lists this ribosomal RNA (662 nucleotides) under uncultured Clostridium sp. RNAcentral describes it as "bacterial SSU rRNA". It matches the Rfam family "Bacterial small subunit ribosomal RNA", at positions 57 to 720 of the family's 1533-position model. The record is from RNAcentral. Lineage: Bacteria; Bacillati; Bacillota; Clostridia; Eubacteriales; Clostridiaceae.